This 301-nucleotide ribosomal RNA is filed under the name uncultured bacterium. RNAcentral's name for it is "partial 16S ribosomal RNA". It matches the Rfam family "Bacterial small subunit ribosomal RNA", at positions 509 to 807 of the family's 1533-position model. The record is from RNAcentral.
CAGCCGCCGCGGUAAUACGAAGGGUGCAAGCGUUAAUCGGAAUUACUGGGCGUAAAGCGCGCGUAGGUGGUUUGUUAAGUUGGAUGUGAAAUCCCCGGGCUCAACCUGGGAACUGCAUCCAAAACUGGCAAGCUAGAGUAUGGUAGAGGGUGGUGGAAUUUCCUGUGUAGCGGUGAAAUGCGUAGAUAUAGGAAGGAACACCAGUGGCGAAGGCGACCACCUGGACUGAUACUGACACUGAGGUGCGAAAGCGUGGGGAGCAAACAGGAUUAGAUACCCGUGUAGUCCCUGUCUCUUAUAC